This 443-nucleotide ribosomal RNA is filed under the name uncultured bacterium. Its description in RNAcentral is "partial 16S ribosomal RNA". It matches the Rfam family "Bacterial small subunit ribosomal RNA", at positions 338 to 795 of the family's 1533-position model. The record is from RNAcentral.
CCUACGGGAGGCUGCAGUGGGGAAUAUUGGGCAAUGGGCGCAAGCCUGACCCAGCAACGCCGCAUGAAGGAAGAAGGCUCUCGGGUUGUAAACUUCUUUUCUCAGGGACGAAGCAAGUGACGGUACCUGAGGAAUAAGCCACGGCUAACUACGUGCCAGCAGCCGCGGUAAUACGUAGGUGGCAAGCGUUAUCCGGAUUUACUGGGUGUAAAGGGCGUGUAGGCGGGAAAGCAAGUCAGAUGUGAAAACCAUGGGCUCAACCUGUGGCCUGAAUUUGAAACUGUUUUUCUUGAGUACUGGGGAGGCAGACGGAAUUCCUAGUGUAGCGGUGAAAUGCGUAGAUAUUAGGAGGAACACCAGUGGCGAAGGCGGUCUGCUGGACAGCAACUGACGCUGAGGCGCGAAAGCGUGGGGAGCAAACAGGAUUAGAUACCCCAGUAGUC